This 314-nucleotide long non-coding RNA is filed under the name Musa acuminata (dwarf banana). RNAcentral describes it as "long non-coding RNA (MACU_LNC004896)". Lineage: Eukaryota; Viridiplantae; Streptophyta; Magnoliopsida; Zingiberales; Musaceae. The record is from RNAcentral.
UUAGCAGGAAGACGACCGCAAGCAGAGGAGCCAACUUGAGGACCAUCCUCUCUCUUACACGAAGAGUGUGAGUGGGCAAGGCAGGUCGAUAUAAUGGGGAGAGGUGGUCAGGGAAGGGAUGAUGGAAUCCAUGUCACAUGGUGGUGAGGUCUGCAUGAUUGGCCACACUGCGAUGCCUCAGGCUGAGGUCUGCAUGGCUGUAAAGCUGCUCCUCGAUCUCGUCUCAGAAAUGUGCAAAGCAGAUGCUGCAUCUGAUCAAACGAGGACCACAAUCGGAUAAUCUCACCUGCGUAAAAGAUAGAUAGGAGGCAAAC